This 603-nucleotide ribosomal RNA is filed under the name uncultured Chroococcales cyanobacterium. Its description in RNAcentral is "bacterial SSU rRNA". It matches the Rfam family "Bacterial small subunit ribosomal RNA", at positions 152 to 787 of the family's 1533-position model. The record is from RNAcentral. Lineage: Bacteria; Bacillati; Cyanobacteriota; Cyanophyceae; Chroococcales.
GGAAACGACUGCUAAUACCGGAUGAGCCGCAAGGUAAAAGAUUUAUUGCUUAAGGAUGAGUUCGCGUCUGAUUAGCUAGUUGGUAGAGUAAGAGCCUACCAAGGCAACGAUCAGUAGCUGGUCUGAGAGGAUGAGCAGCCACACUGGGACUGAGACACGGCCCAGACUCCUACGGGAGGCAGCAGUGGGGAAUUUUCCGCAAUGGGCGAAAGCCUGACGGAGCAAGACCGCGUGAGGGAGGAAGGCCUUUGGGUUGUAAACCUCUUUUCUCAAGGAAGAAGCAAGUGACGGUACUUGAGGAAGAAGCCUCGGCUAACUCCGUGCCAGCAGCCGCGGUAAUACGGAGGAGGCAAGCGUUAUCCGGAAUUAUUGGGCGUAAAGCGUCCGUAGGUGGCUUUUCAAGUCUGCUGUCAAAGACCGAGGCUUAACUUCGGAAAGGCAGUGGAAACGGGGAAGCUAGAGGACAGUAGGGGUAGCAGGAAUUCCCAGUGUAGCGGUGAAAUGCGUAGAGAUUGGGAAGAACAUCGGUGGCGAAAGCGUGCUACUGGGCUGAACCUGACACUGAGGGACGAAAGCUAGGGGAGCGAAAGGGAUUAGAUACCC